Molecule: microRNA precursor, 91 nt
Filed under: Marmota monax (woodchuck)
Lineage: Eukaryota; Metazoa; Chordata; Mammalia; Rodentia; Sciuridae
Source: RNAcentral
CUAUGAAUCACCUGGGCAUAAUGUUAAAAUGCAGAUUCUGUUUUACUGGGUCUGGGGUAGAGUCUGAGAGUCUGCAUUUCUAAUAAACUGU